AGAUUGAACGCUGGCGGCAGGCCUAACACAUGCAAGUCGAGCGGUAGAGAGGUGCUUGCACCUCUUGAGAGCGGCGGACGGGUGAGUAAUGCCUAGGAAUCUGCCUAGUGGUGGGGGAUAACGUUCGGAAACGGACGCUAAUACCGCAUACGUCCUACGGGAGAAAGCGGGGGACCUUCGGGCCUCGCGCCAUUAGAUGAGCCUAGGUCGGAUUAGCUAGUUGGUGAGGUAAUGGCUCAACCGAAGGCGACGAUCCCGUAAUGGUCUGACGAGGAUGGAAUCGACGUCAACACGUGGAACUGAGACCGACGUCCGAGACCUACGACGGGAGCAGCG
Molecule: ribosomal RNA, 336 nt
Filed under: uncultured soil bacterium
Lineage: Bacteria
Description: bacterial SSU rRNA
Rfam family: Bacterial small subunit ribosomal RNA
Source: RNAcentral